This 5237-nucleotide long non-coding RNA is filed under the name Sus scrofa (pig). RNAcentral's name for it is "lncRNA (ENSSSCG00000057035.1, ENSSSCG00110013545.1)". The record is from RNAcentral. Lineage: Eukaryota; Metazoa; Chordata; Mammalia; Artiodactyla; Suidae.
GAUAUAGUUCCCUGUGCCAUACAGCAUGAUCCCAUUGCCUAUCCACUCCAAACGCAAGCAUAAUAACACAUCAGUGAUCUAUAAAGCUUCUCCCACCUCAGAAGUUUCCAUCAUUCUACCCGACUCAGAAAGAUCCAACCUCGGAGGCUUUACAAAGAAGCUUGUACAAUCAGUAGUUGAUAUACAAUAAGAAUUGAUAUUCACUUGAGUGCUUACCGUGGGCCAGUCGCUGUAGCUAUUAACUCAUUUAAUCUUUAUAUCAACCCCCAAAUUGUAGAUAUUCUUUUUAAUUCCUGUUUUACAAAUGGUGACAUUGAGGCUUAGAUGGAUUAAUUAAUUUGCUCAAAGUAUAGGGCAGCUAGAAGUAACCCCAUUGUCUUGAUGGCAGUGGAAGCCCUUGACCUGUUUUAUAUGUUCAUUCUGCGGAAUGAACUCUUCUGUUUCAUUUUAUUACACAUAUUCCAUUGAACAUCCAGUUAAAAGGUGCUAUGAAAAAUUAAUAUCAAAAGAAGGAUAGUUCCAAAAGCAAAAUUGUUGGAAAAGGGUAUGUUUCUCAGAGCAUGAUUUGUGGACUACUUGUAGUAUCAUUUAUUUAACACAGGCAAUGAAUUUGGUUUAGUCACCACUACAUUCCCAGAGCCUAGAAGAGAGUUAGACAUCAAUAAAUUCAUACUGAAUGAAUAAAUCUGUAGGGAUGGGGUUUAGGAAUAUGUAUUUUAACAAGCACCCGAAAUUUGAGACUCACUGCCCUAGUAGAUCUCUCAAAUACUUUCUAGGUCUGACAUUUUAUCAGAUUUUUGACAUUAAAUUAUCCCUUGAAUACCAUUUUUCUAGUAAGCUUAUUUUUUCAUUCAGUCUCUUUAGCUUCCUCUAAUCUUAAAGAGGGGGGACUCAUUAGGGGGUGAUUUCUCUAGGAAAUUCCCUCUUUUCCUUAGAGUUCUGCUAUGCUAUUUCAGUCUCAAAGUGGACUGAAAUGCAUUCUCUCAUUUUCACAGUUCUGUCCUUUUCAUCAAUGUCUUAAAAGAUUAAAAGAAGUAAGGCAGUUGUAAGCUGUCAUUCCUUCCAAAUACAACGUCCUAAAAAAUGGCUCCUUCCUUGCAAGGAACACAGACAUCUACCUUGUGGGUUUAGACUGUUUAUUUUGCAGGCUUUUGAACUGAACGCUUCAGAAGCCUGGACUAGUAUCAUUUCAAAAGGGUUGCACCAAUCGUUUUCAUCUGUGCAUUUUUUUCUCAAAAAAACAGUCUGUCAGUUAAAGUUGAAUGACAGAGUGAAAUGUGCAGAUAUCUAUUACAGAGAUAUAUUUCUGGUUUGUUCACUUGUUCAUUUGCUUAAACUUUCUUUUUCCCAAAAGAUUAUGCAUUGAAGCAUAUACCAUUCAAUCUAAAUGUAUUCGUUUUGCUACAUGGUUUUCUGAUCAAGCAGGUUUUUUUUAAAUGGAAGCAUAAUUUUUAUGAUAUCAAAAUGGAGGUGAUCUCUUAACAUUGCUGUAAAAGUUAAUCUGUCAGCAUGUUUCCUUAAAAUGAGUCAAAUUAAAUUGUUGAUAUGAUUGAACAAAUCAGUCCUUAUACUAGUUAAAGAGGCUUUUCUGAUGACCCACCCCACCCCCUUUACUGCGUGAACUUCUCUCUGGUUUUUAUUGUAUUUUCCUGAUCCUUCCAUUUUUUCUUUGGCAAGCAGUAUUUAAAUACCAUUUGCUCAUUCAUGAAUCAAAUAUGGCUGCCAUCGCAUCACCUUUUGUCCAUAGAAUGUACAGAGGGAACAUGAGAUAGGAGUGCAAUGUUUAAGUCUCCAAAUAUUAAAAACAAACAACAAACCCACUAGCAUUUCUCUUGCUUUGAUGUUCUGGCAUCUUCUUUAGGCCAGAGCUGCAUUUGUAAUACCUAACUGAAUCCAAAUGUCCUUGAAAGAAUGUCAAAUUUGAGAGUCUAUUGAGUUGACCAGCGCCAGACCUCUCGAUUAUCCCUCAGGUUUAAUAUCUGAUUUCUACCCAAAAUGAGUAUUUCUAGGAGAGAAAGUCACAUCCUUGUUCACAUUCACCAUGGGUGUGAUCAGUUCUUCUCCAAAUUCCAUUUUUCCUUUGAUUUAUUGCUAAUUGUCUCCUUCUAUCCCUAGGGUAGCACGUUGCCUGUUUUAAAUACAUCUUUAACCUUAUAAGAAAAGAUGUUUUGGAAGUUCUCUGUGGCACAGCAGGUUAAGGAUCUGGUGUUGCUGAAGUUGUAACUGAGGCUCGGGUUUGAUCCCUGACCCAGGAAGUUCCACCUGCUUUGAGUGUGGCCAAAAAAAAAAACACAAAACAAAAGAUGUUCCAAUGAAAAGCAAAUAUAUGUUUAUGUGUCCCUUAAUUGGUGAAUGAAAAUAAGUAAAGGAUACUUCUACUGCAUUCACCUGUAUUCCAGUCUUUUCCAAGUCAUGUUCAGGACCACUGGUUCUGGGAAAUAUUCACUGCGAUCUGAGACCAAAUGAUCCUACCCAUGCUCCCCACUUCUUGGGCAUUGACAAUAAAUGUUAGCAUUUUAAUGAAACUGAAGAAGCUUUUGGAUCAGGAAAACAUUUUUUUUCUAAACACACCUCGAAGAAACUUAAGAAAAGUUUUCUUUUAACACAGUUUACAUAGCUUUCAGCGACUUCAGACAAUAUAACCAGGAAUGCUUUGGAAAGAUGCUUCUGGGUUUUUGUUUGAACUCUAAGAGGAAUAUCUGCCACUUUAAAUAAACUAGUAUCUACUUUAAAUGUCAUUAGUAUAUCUUAAUGAAUUUAACUUAAUCACCUAAAAUAUUCAAAACAAAACAAUGACAUUGUUUUAAUAUUUUAAUAUUUAUUUUUAAGAUCUGCACCUAUGACCAGCACAUCAGGCUGCUAUCUGUGGCAGAUGGUCGAAAUUCUUUGCAGAAUGGAAUUAAUACUAGUGAACAAUCUUUAUAAUACUUUGAACAUUUUAAGAAAUUGAAUCAUGAUAGACUGAUGCUGACACUUUUUUUACAUAAUCUUGUUAGAAAGUACACUUUAAAAUUCAGUUAAAUCUGAGAGAAACGCACUGUUUGGAUUAGAUUUUGAAGGUUUUACUCUAUUAAUGAGCAUCAGAUAGUUCUUUUUUGCUUUGCUUUAUUUUGCAAAUCAAUCUUUUUAUAAAAAACAAAUAAAUCAGCAAAGUUUUUGUAAAAAUUCCUGGGUAGGAGUUCCUGUUGUGGCUUAGUGGUAACAAACCCAACUAGUAUCCAUGAGGACACAGGUUCAAUCCCUGGCCCUACUCGAUGGGUUAAGGAUCUGGCAUUGCCGUGAGCUGUGGUGCAGGUUGCAGACACGGCACAGAUCCCCUGUUGCUUAUGGCUGUGGUGUAGGUCGGCAGCUGUAGCUCCAAUUCGACCCCUAGCCUGAGAAUUUCCAUGUGCCAUGGGUGGGGCCCUAAAAAGAAAAACAUAAAUAAAUAAAUAAAUAAAUAUUCCUGGGUAAACUGUCUGUUAUCAGAUAGAAAAGAAUAAAGCUGAAUCACUGUACAUUUCCCUAAAUAUAGUUCAAUUUUUAGUUCAUUCAUAGUUUGUGAAUCAGUUGAUGGAUAACAAGCCAUUUAUCAUUUUAGAUUAUUCCAUUGAAUGAGUACAGCCUGCAAACAUUAACUCCAUGUCACUUAUUCAGUAUUAUUCCAUUGGCAUUUUCUUUUCUUUUUUGGCAAAACAAAUUUUUAAUGUUAUUCACACAUCGUUACCCUAAAAAAAUUUUUUUCUUUUUAGGGCCACACUUGUAGCAUAUGGAAGUUCCCAGACUAGGGGUUGAAUCAAAACUGCAGCUGCCAGCCUACACCGUGGAAAUGCAGGAGCUGAGCCACGUCUGAGACCCACACCACAGCUCACUCCAACACUGGAUCCUUAACCCAAUGAGUGAGGCCAGAGAUUGAACCCACCUCCUCAUGGAUACUAGUUGGGCUCAUAACCCGCUGAGCCACAAUGAGAACUCCUAAGAUAUUGUAAAUAACACACCUAACGACUACCACUAGGAUUAUCUUCCCAAAGUCCAAAGUUGUUUCUUUUCCUUAUGAGAUGCUAGGAUGAUCAAUUUGAUAGCUGUGAUUUUUCAGGUCAGUAUUUAGUUCUUGCUUUGUUAAAUGGAUAUGCAUGAGAGGGACUGACUCCCGUUUGAUCUCUUUCUCUGUGGAAACAUUGCCACCGAAUAAUUAAGUGUUCUUUAAAAAGUCAAGUGUUGGUAUGAUGAUAUGUUAAUCUAUGAGCAGGGCUUAUGACAGGCCAAGCAGUCAUUUAUAGAAUUGGCUUUUUAAACUGUAAGAAUAGCGUUGGGUUUCAAUAUUCAAAAAAAAUUUUUUUUCACUUUGUAUAGGGAAAGAUCUGUAUGAAAGAGACGAUCAAAAUUUAAUCUUCAUCCCUCCUAAGUGGCAGUGUAAGGCAUUGUGGGUUUCAGUUUUUGUUUUUUUGUUUUUUGGGGUUUUUUUGCACUUUAACAAGGAGAGAAACUAGGAAAAGAAGUUCAGAGAAAUUUUGCUGUGUUUCUAAAGGUAAUAAAAUUCAGCCAAUUGUCUUUCUUUAGGAAAAUGCUAUUAAUGUAUACUUUGAGUUGGUAGCACCUUUUAUUUAGAGUUGUCCAUGAUCUUUGUAGCAAAAAAGAAACAAUGUCUUUUUGACCUGGGGUGGAGUACAUAUUUUCACAAAAUAUAUUGAGCAUUAAAUAUUUAUAAAAAGAAUUGUGGACGAAAAUACUCGAGUACACUUUUAAAAAUUAGUUAAAAUGUUGAUGGCUGGCUCUUUUUCCUACAUGUGUAAUUCAACAGAGAAUCCUUUAUUCUCAUAGCCAUUAUUGCUUUGUCUGUGAUGAAAUCUUUACUGCUUCUGUGCUGUGCUCAAGAAAAAACCAGCAAAAGAAGCAAGGGCCUGUUCCUUCACAGAACUGCCCAAAGCUCUCUGUUGAGCAAUGGUGAGAUGAAUGUGUAAUAUUGAUUCAGUAAAGAAAAUCAUGAGAACAUUUUAAUGUUACUUGCCUUAUAGGUUAGAAAAGGUGUAUAUAUCUUUUUUUGGUAAAUAAUGAUUUUUUUACAAAUGUUUUUUUCCUUCAUAAUUUUCCCAAUCACCCAUUUCACAAAAUCCUGAAUAUGCAAUUAUUUACCGUGGCACAUUACUGCAACUAGGGUUCCCAUUUCUGGACAAAGUUUAAUUAUAUGUGAGAACAAGAUGAAAUAUCUAAGUUGUUAUUUAAAUGUGAUUUUUUUUUCCUGGAAAAUAAAUGAAAAA